CGGCCUUCAUACUCUCGCGCUGGAGCACAGUAGAGGCGGGUGGAAUUCCGGGUGUAGCGGUGGAAUGCGUAGAGAUCCGGAAGAACACCGGUGGCGAAGGCGGCCCGCUGGGCUGUGGCUGACGCUGAGGCGCGACAGCGUGGGGAGCAAACAGGAUUAGAUACCCUGGUAGUCCACGCCGUAAACGAUGGGCACUAGGUGCCUGGGGGAGCGACCCCCUGGGUGCCGGCGCUAACGCAUUAAGUGCCCCGCCUGGGGAGUACGGCCGCAAGGCUGAAACUCAAAGGAAUUGACGGGGGCCCGCACAAGCGGUGGAGCAUGUGGUUUAAUUCGACGCAACGCGAAGAACCUUACCUGGGGCUUGACAUCUAGGGGAAAGGCUCGAGAAACCGAGUCCCCUCUUNGGAGUNCCU
This 413-nucleotide ribosomal RNA is filed under the name uncultured Gemmatimonas sp. RNAcentral describes it as "bacterial SSU rRNA". It matches the Rfam family "Bacterial small subunit ribosomal RNA", at positions 622 to 1030 of the family's 1533-position model. The record is from RNAcentral. Lineage: Bacteria; Pseudomonadati; Gemmatimonadota; Gemmatimonadia; Gemmatimonadales; Gemmatimonadaceae.